CGCUCUUCCUGUUUACCGGCAUUCAACAGAGGUCUGUGGUUAAAACACAGCCGUUUGGGCAUUUUAACACCGCUUGUGUCAUUUUGUGGGGCUUUGCGUACACUGGAGAGUCUAUUGUAAACAACCGUUACGUGCGGUCUGGCUCGUUACACUGCCUAGUCCCAGCAUUCCCGUGUGUUUACCGUUUGAGUGGGGACAUCCAAUAUAUGCUGUUUGGCAUCUACUUCAUUUCUAUCCCGUGGAUACUGACGUCAGCUCUGCUUUCUGGUGUGGCAAACGGCUGCGUUAUUUGGAGCUGUGUGUCCGACGGCAGUGAGGCUUUCCUUCACCGUGUGCUGUGUUAUGCUGUGUGAGCACCACUGAUAAAAUCACGGGAGCUGUGUGUCCGACGGCAGUGAGGCUUUCCUUCACCGUGUGCUGUGUUAUGCUGUGUGAGCACCACUGAUAAAAUCACGGGUAUUGGAGUGAGUGUGUGUGUGUGUGUGUGCACUUAGUGUGAUUCUCCUCUUUUGCUCCCUCUCUUAGCCCAUUUGAUGCCAAUAGGCUACAGCUCCGAAGUAAAUGUGAAUCCUUAUUGUGGAUUGUGAUUUCCAGCUUAGUAAUUGGCUGGGUGACUAUUAUUCCUGCAUUUUAAACUUUUGUACUAAUAAACAAACUCUAUUUUGCUACCCACGUCUCUUGCUCAUUUUAUUCAGUGGAAUGAACCUGGGUUCCUUAUAACAUUUUAAGUGAACUGUGAU
This is a long non-coding RNA of Cyprinus carpio carpio, 740 nucleotides long. Lineage: Eukaryota; Metazoa; Chordata; Actinopteri; Cypriniformes; Cyprinidae. The record is from Ensembl.